This 163-nucleotide unclassified non-coding RNA is filed under the name uncultured Mucoromycotina. RNAcentral describes it as "sequence contains ITS1". The record is from RNAcentral. Lineage: Eukaryota; Fungi.
GAAAUCACCGGCCUAGCCCGGUAUAAAAUUCUAUCCACCUUGUGUGCAAACAAUGGAAAAAGAGAGAAAAUUGGAUACAUUUGUAUCCAACUUCUCUAAAAUUUUUUAUAAACUCCAUCAAAUUUUGAAUGAAAACAAAUUUUUUUAAUAAAAAAAUAUUAUA